RNAcentral lists this ribosomal RNA (934 nucleotides) under uncultured bacterium. Its description in RNAcentral is "bacterial SSU rRNA". It matches the Rfam family "Bacterial small subunit ribosomal RNA", at positions 8 to 933 of the family's 1533-position model. The record is from RNAcentral.
AGAGUUUGAUCCUGGCUCAGAUUGAACGCUGGCGGCAGGCUUAACACAUGCAAGUCGAGCGGAAACGAGAAUAGCUUGCUAUUCGGCGUCGAGCGGCGGACGGGUGAGUAAUGCUUGGGAACAUGCCUUGAGGUGGGGGACAACAGUUGGAAACGACUGCUAAUACCGCAUAAUGUCUUCGGACCAAAGGAGGGGAUCUUCGGACCUUUCGCCUUUAGAGUGGCCCAAGUGAGAUUAGCUAGUUGGUGGGGUAAAGGCCUACCAAGGCGACGAUCUCUAGCUGGUUUGAGAGGAUGAUCAGCCACACUGGGACUGAGACACGGCCCAGACUCCUACGGGAGGCAGCAGUGGGGAAUAUUGCACAAUGGGGGAAACCCUGAUGCAGCCAUGCCGCGUGUGUGAAGAAGGCCCUCGGGUUGUAAAGCACUUUCAGUCGUGAGGAAAGGUUUGUAGCUAAUAUCUGCAAGCUGUGACGUUAGCGACAGAAGAAGCACCGGCUAACUCCGUGCCAGCAGCCGCGGUAAUACGGAGGGUGCGAGCGUUAAUCGGAAUUACUGGGCGUAAAGCGUGCGUAGGCGGUUUCUUAAGCGAGAUGUGAAAUCCCGGGGCUCAACCUCGGAACUGCAUUUCGAACUGGGUGACUAGAGUACUGUAGAGGGUGGUGGAAUUUCCAGUGUAGCGGUGAAAUGCGUAGAGAUUGGAAGGAACAUCAGUGGCGAAGGCGGCCACCUGGACAGAUACUGACGCUGAGGCACGAAAGCGUGGGGAGCAAACAGGAUUAGAUACCCUGGUAGUCCACGCCGUAAACGAUGUCAACUAGCUGUCUGUGUUCUUGAAACGUGGGUAGCGUAGCUAACGCGCUAAGUUGACCGCCUGGGGAGUACGGCCGCAAGGUUAAAACUCAAAUGAAUUGACGGGGGCCCGCACAAGCGGU